AUUGAACGCUGGCGGCAGGCCUAACACAUGCAAGUCGAACGGUAGCACAGAGAGCUUGCUCUCGGGUGACGAGUGGCGGACGGGUGAGUAAUGUCUAGGAAACUGCCUGAUGGAGGGGGAUAACUACUGGAAACGGUAGCUAAUACCGCAUAACGUCGCAAGACCAAAGAGGGGGACCUUCGGGCCUCUUGCCAUCAGAUGUGCCCAGAUGGGAUUAGCUAGUUGGCGGGGUAAAGGCCCACCAAGCCGACGAUCUGUAGCUGGUCUGAGAGGACGGCCAGCCACACUGGGACUGAGACACGGCCCAGACUCCGUACGGGAGGCAGCAGUGGGAAUUUUGGACAAUGGGGCAACCUGAUCCAGCCAUGCCGCGUGCGGGAAGAAGG
This 386-nucleotide ribosomal RNA is filed under the name uncultured bacterium. RNAcentral's name for it is "bacterial SSU rRNA". It matches the Rfam family "Bacterial small subunit ribosomal RNA", at positions 29 to 414 of the family's 1533-position model. The record is from RNAcentral.